UCCAGUCCAGUUUAUAGCUGAGUGGUGUGAACAGCUCUUAACUCCUCUGUGGAACCAGUCCAGUUUGGCUGAGUGGUGUGAACAGCUCUUAACUCCUCUGUGGAACCAGGCCAGUCCAGUUUGGCUGAGUGGUGUGAACAGCUCUUAACUCCUCUGUGGAACCAGGCCAGUUUGGCUGAGUGGUGUGAACAGCUCUUAACUCCUCUGUGGAACCAGACCAGUCCAGUUUGGCUGAGUGGUGUGAACAGCUCUUAACUCCUCUGUGGAACCAGGCCAGUCCAGUUUGGCUGAGUGGUGUGAACAGCUCUUAACUCCUCUGUGGAACCCAGCCAGUCCAGUUUGGCUGAGUGGUGUGAACAGCUCUUAACCCCUCUGUCCUGUCAGUAUGAGAACAGCCACUUUUUGAGUAUGAAUGUUAUUAUGUGUAAAGUGUGAAGUGCAACACUGCAGCAUACGUCAUCAGUCACUGAGCCUUGACCAAAACACUCUUUGGGUGUGUCCCAAAUGGCUCCCUAUUCCCCACAGGGCUUUGGUCUAAAGUAGUGCACUAUGUAGGGAAUAGGGUGCCAGCCCUGGUCUAAAGUAGUGCACUAUGUAGGGAAUAGGGUGCCAGCCCUGGUCUAAAGUAGUGCACUAUGUAGGGAAUAGGGUGCCAGCCCUGGUCUAAAGUAGUGCACUAUGUAGGGAAUAGGGUGCCAUUUGGGAUGUAGUAUCACCUGUGUAGAACCUAUGCAACACUUGACUUAGAAAGUCGUCUUAGACAUGGGACAGCCAGGGGACAGGGUUUACCAUGUAUAUUAUGUAUUAGACGAAUAAAUAUCUCCUCACGUUCUGUUGCUGUUCUGUUGUUGGCAGGCCGUCUGUGGUGUGGGAUGGGGAUUUAGCCCGGGAACCACUGUGAAUACUAUCUCUCUCUCUCUCGUUCACUAUCGUCUCGGUUUAAGUGAAACAAUAGUGAACCAGAGAAUGAUAUGACAGUUUGGAUUUCGGACGACUGACGACCGGGUUUGAGGAGAGGAUGUCGAGAGGUCGGUAGAAAACACAAAUGAAAGUAGCUCUUCUCAGGUCUCAAGAACAUAACUGAUUCUAGUACUGCAUGUCAUGCAGACGUGUUGUAAAAUAUCUCUACAGUUAACUGGCGCUAACUGGUGGUGAGUGCUGCCACCUAGUGGAUCUUAACAGACACACACAAGUACAUUUGGAAUCCUCCGUGACAAGACAACAAGCUGUGUUGGGAUCGAGAGGAAGACAAAACGACACACAGAGACAAUUUAAUGCAACCUCUUUAAUAAAAAUAAAAAAGAAGUUAUCUUUCAUUCUCACACCCCACCAGCAUCCAUGUCAUUACAAUUGAUGGAAUAAACUUGUGUAUUUUAAGAAAAAAAA
Molecule: long non-coding RNA, 1386 nt
Organism: Oncorhynchus keta (chum salmon)
Lineage: Eukaryota; Metazoa; Chordata; Actinopteri; Salmoniformes; Salmonidae
Exons: 2
Source: RefSeq, a predicted model, not a curated record